This 253-nucleotide ribosomal RNA is filed under the name uncultured bacterium. RNAcentral describes it as "partial 16S ribosomal RNA". It matches the Rfam family "Bacterial small subunit ribosomal RNA", at positions 524 to 776 of the family's 1533-position model. The record is from RNAcentral.
UACGAAGGGGGCUAGCGUUGUUCGGAAUUACUGGGCGUAAAGCGCGCGCAGGCGGCUAUCCAAGUCAGUGGUGAAAGCCCGGAGCUCAACUCCGGAACUGCCAUUGAAACUGUUUAGCUUGAGGACGAGAGAGGUGAGUGGAAUUCCCAGUGUAGAGGUGAAAUUCGUAGAUAUUCGGAAGAACACCAGUGGCGAAGGCGGCUCACUGGCCCGGUACUGACGCUGAGGUGCGAAAGCGUGGGGAGCAAACAGG